This 497-nucleotide ribosomal RNA is filed under the name uncultured bacterium. RNAcentral describes it as "partial 16S ribosomal RNA". It matches the Rfam family "Bacterial small subunit ribosomal RNA", at positions 28 to 507 of the family's 1533-position model. The record is from RNAcentral.
GAUGAACGCUGGCGGCGUGCCUAAUACAUGCAAGUCGAGCGAACAGACGAGGAGCUUGCUCCUCUGACGUUAGCGGCGGACGGGUGAGUAACACGUGGAUAACCUACCUAUAAGACUGGGAUAACUUCGGGAAACCGGAGCUAAUACCGGAUAAUAUAUUGAACCGCAUGGUUCAAUAGUGAAAGACGGUUUUGCUGUCACCUAUAGAUGGAUCCGCGCCGCAUCAGCUAGUUGGUAAGGUAACGGCUUACCAAGGCGACGAUGCGUAGCCGACCUGAGAGGGUGAUCGGCCACACUGGAACUGAGACACGGUCCAGACUCCUACGGGAGGCAGCAGUAGGGAAUCUUCCGCAAUGGGCGAAAGCCUGACGGAGCAACGCCGCGUGAGUGAUGAAGGUCUUCGGAUCGUAAAACUCUGUUAUUAGGGAAGAACAAAUGUGUAAGUAACUAUGCACGUCUUGACGGUACCUAAUCAGAAAGCCACGGCUAACUACGUG